This 218-nucleotide ribosomal RNA is filed under the name uncultured bacterium. RNAcentral's name for it is "partial 16S ribosomal RNA". It matches the Rfam family "Bacterial small subunit ribosomal RNA", at positions 1284 to 1500 of the family's 1533-position model. The record is from RNAcentral.
CGUCCCAGUUCGGAUUGCAGGCUGCAACCCGCCUGCAUGAAGCUGGAAUCGCUAGUAAUCGCGGAUCAGCAUGCCGCGAUGAAUACGUUCCCGGGCCUUGUACACACCGCCCGUCACACCAUGAGAGUCGGGAACACCCGAAGUCCGUAGCCUGACCGCGAAGGGGGGCGCGGCCGAAGGUGGGUUCGAUAAUUGGGGUGAAGUCGUAACAAGGUAAC